RNAcentral lists this small RNA (4985 nucleotides) under Pan troglodytes (chimpanzee). Its description in RNAcentral is "processed transcript". The record is from RNAcentral. Lineage: Eukaryota; Metazoa; Chordata; Mammalia; Primates; Hominidae.
AAACGCACGUGAGGGAAAUCAGAUGACUGGACUUGUAGAUACUAACGGUUCUGAAGCGGAAUGGCUUAUUCAGAAGAGCAUAAAGGUAUGCCCUGUGGUUUCAUCCGCCAGAAUUCCGGCAACUCCAUUUCCUUGGACUUUGAGCCCAAUAUAGAGUACCAGUUUGUGGAGCGGUUGGAAGAGCGCUACAAAUGUGCCUUCUGCCACUCGGUGCUUCACAACCCCCACCAGACAGGAUGUGGGCACCGCUUCUGCCAGCACUGCAUCCUGUCCCUGAGAGAAUUAAACACAGUGCCAAUCUGCCCUGUAGAUAAAGAGGUCAUCAAAUCUCAGGAGGUUUUUAAAGACAAUUGCUGCAAAAGAGAAGUCCUCAACUUAUAUGUAUAUUGCAGCAAUGCUCCUGGAUGUAAUGCCAAGGUUAUUCUGGGCCGGUACCAGGUUGGUAUUACUCAUGAACGAUAUCUGCUUUUGCCAUUUUUCCAGGGAUGUGUGUUGAACCCCUUUAUGUGACAGUUACUGAGCUAAGCAUGGUACAGGGAUUCAGUGAAUUGCCCUCAAGGACUCCCAGUCUAGCAAUACAGGUGGCUACAGUGCUGUAGCCCACCUACGGCUGAGGUGUGAGUGAAGAGGUUCGUCCUGUAUGGAGCGCAUGGAGGACAUCUUGUAUCCACUAGACCUUAAUUGUGUGGUAGGGAUCAUUGAGCCAAAAGAGAGGGCGUGGGACAUGCUGGACAAAACAAACACUCAAGAAUAUGCCAUUUUGGGGGAACUGUGUGGGACCCAGGGCAUGACUACAGAAAGACACAAUUGUGAGGUCCUUCCCCAAAAGCAUUUGCUCUCUCACUUGGUGCUGUCGUAGGUGUUUCCCAGCAACUGUGGGACCUGGCCUCGUGGGGUUUAUGAUCUAACACAGAUCACUCAGACCAGGACAGAGACAGGCUGUGGGUUAAAGGUGAAGCAUUGAUAGGAGAGACAAACCAACAAGGUGUAGGGGAAAUGUAAGUGAAGGGGAAUUGAUGCCUUUCAAAUGAAGUGACCCCAGCUGCUCUUCCUUCCAGCUAGGGAAGGUGGUUAAAGGGGAAGCUGGAAGUGUGGCGCUGCCUGGCAGGCCCAGGUCAAGUUUGAUCACACUGCAAGUGAACAUGACUCAGGCUUCUCUAACUUCCAAGGAAUUGCUGAGAGGCUGCUGAAAUUUCUCCCGCACACCCACACAUUUUGGAACACAUAUUUCAGAUGAUUCAGUCUUUUCUCUAUCACACCUCCAAAUCCCUCAGGGACUGAGCUUAUAAAUGUGUAAAUGAUUUCCUUGUUAAUCCAGGAAUUUAUUUGGAGGUUCAUAGAACUUUUGUUAUGUUUUCAUGUGUCUUUUGCCCCUUGUUUUGAAUAGUCGAGUCCUAGAGCAAGGCCUUUUUUCCAACUUUGUUGUCACUAAGCCUAAAAAGUAAGUGAGGCUCAAAUGGACCAUUGAACAGCUUUAGUGACCAAAACUGGCUUAUGGAGAGCAGGGCCUGGUUUCUCUCCACCUGUUUCUUUUAUAUUUCCCCUCAUUCCUUGUUUCCCACCCACCCCCUUCUAUGGUAAGGUGUAGCAUCUUACAGGUAGCAGAGUUUUGAUGAAUAUUGACUGUUUGGGUGAGAGUUGAGGAGUAAUAUCAACCAAUUUUGGAGAAGAGAUGGAUUCCAACUGUGAUCACCAUAUGAUUCUUACUACCAGAGGUGAAGGAGAAUAGCUGCAUUUGUUUAUCUCACUGUCAAAAAACUGUUUGCUUUUUCUUCUGAGAAGGGAUCAGCAAACUCUGUUAAGAGUCAAACAAUAAUCAUCAUCAUCAUCAUCAUCAUCAUCAUAAAGAGCCAGAUAGUAACUAUUUUAGGCUUUGCAGGCCAUACAGUCUCUGUCACAAUUACUCAGCUCUCCCAUUUUAGAGGCAAAGCAGCUAUAGACAAUAUGUGAAGGAAUAGGUGUGGCUCCUCUCCAAUAAAACUUUAAUUAUAAAAACAAGUAGCAGGCCAGAUUUGGCCUGUGAGUCUUAGCUUGCCAAUUUUGUCUUAAAGGACCCUCAGGGGGACAAGUUCUCUAACAUUUUGUUAACUUGCCAGCAUCACAAUAACUGCAAUGAUUCAAAGGUUUUCACUGAGAUAUGCCUGCUUUUAAACCUCUAGAAUGUUGGCCAGGCGUGGUGGCUCAUGCCUGUAAUACCAGCACUUUGGGAGGCCGAGGUGGGCAGAUUACCAGAGAUCAGGAGUUUGAGACCAGCCUGGCCAACGUGGCAAAACCCUGUCUUUACUAAUAAUACAAAAAUUAGCCGGGCAUGGUAGCUGGUGUCUGUAAUCCCAGCUACUUGGGAGGCUGAGGCAGGAGAAUCGCUUGAAACCUGGGAGGCGGAGGUUGCAGUAAGCCAAGAUUGCGCCACUGCACUUCAGUCUGGGUGACGGUGCGAGACUCUGUCUAAAAAAAAAAAAAAAAAAAAAAAAAAAAACCUAGAAUGUCCAGCCUGGCCAACAUGGUGAAACCCUGUCUCUACUAAAAAUACAAAAAUUAGCUGGGUGUGGUGCACACCUGUAAUCCCAGCUAAUCUGGAGGCUGAGGCACAAGAAGCUCUUCAACCCAGGAGGUGGAGGUUGCAGUGAAUGGAGAUUGCACCACUUCACUCCAGCUUGGGUGACAGAGAGAGACCCUGACUCAAAAAUAAAAUUUUAAAAAGUAAAAAUAAAAUAGAAUGUGAAGAACCCUGGAAUGAACACUGUCCAUGUAAUCAUUCUCUAAUAUUAAAUAAUAUUAAAUAGUAUAUAAUGUUAUAUAUUAUAUUACAUAUAAUAUAUUAAAUACUAUAAUAUAUAUUGUUUAUAAUAAAUACAUUAUUUACAUGUAAAUAAUUAAAUGUUUAUUUUUAAUAAUAAAUAACAGAAUAUUUAAAAUAACUUUUAAAAUAAAAUUAGAGAAUAUUUAAAAUAAAAUUUAAAUAACUUAUUAUUUGUGUUACCUAGGCUGGAGUGCAGUGGCACAAUCAUAGCUCACUGCAGCCUCAAACUUCUGGACUCAACUGAUCCUCCCACCUCAGCCUCCUGUGUAGUUGGGACCAUAGGUGUAUACCGCAACACUUGGCUAAUUAAAAAAAAAAAAAUUUGUGGAGACAAGGUAUUGGGGUCUCACUGUGUUGCCCAGGCUGGACUUGAGUCCUGGCCUUAAGUGAUCCUCCCAUCUCAGCCUCCCAAAGUUCUGGGAUUACGAGCAUGAGCCACCACACGUGGCCAAUAAAGUAUUAUUAAUGGUUAAAAAUAUUUCCUGAUUUUACCAGUCUGACCAUUCCUAGCUUCUCUUGGGCUUGCAUACCUAUAUUUCCUCCGUCUCCUUUUCUUUAUCAUUUCUGGAAUAGCUUACUGUCCCUUCUUUUCAUCUUCUUAAUCCUUUCCCUUUCUUCCUUGAGUUAGGAUAUGCCCUUCUCUCCUUUUUUCCUUUUCCUGUGUCCUUUUACCAUCUGCUAUGCAGAGACCCAUACUUGAUGCUGGAGGUCGGGAUGAAGAGUCCACAAAAGAAAUAAAAAUGUCCUUGAAGAACUGGUAAAUUAAGGAAAAUAUCCAAGAACUAACCUGAGAAUAUGAGCACAUUAUUAGAUCAUCUAAAACAAACUUGGUGUACUUCCCUCUUCACCUAUCUUCCCCUGUCCUCUGAAUUUCCCCCAACCAAGACUGGCUUUCCCAUCUCUGGUACAAGCAGCCCUCCCCAUGCCCUCUCCUCAGCAGAGGCAGUGGGCAGCAUCCCCUGAGAGCCUACCCUCUGCCUUGCCCUGUGCAAGCCUUUCUGCCCAGCUGCCCACCCUGUUCUCUCUCCCUCCCUAGGCCUUCCAGCUGACUUCUUUCCUACCACCCUGGUCAGCAGGUCCCACUGGCCUGUUGUUAUCUGUUGCAGGAUCACCUUCAGCAGUGCUUAUUUCAAGCUGUGCAGUGUUCUAAUGAGAAGUGCCGGGAACCAGUCCUACGGAAAGACCUGAAAGAGCAUUUGAGUGCAUACUGUCAGUUUCGAGAGGAAAAAUGCCUUUAUUGCAAAAAGGAUGUGGUAGUCAUCAAUCUACAGGUGAAAAACAACACAUACAACAGUCAUCUUUAUGGAGCUAAAUUAUGCCUGAGUGGUCACAGUGAAUCAGGUGGAAUGCCAGAAGAACAUUCCUGCAUUUAUUUUUGUACAGAAUUAGGUCUAAAGAAUUUGCGCUUUGGAGAGAAGUUCUGUGAAAAGCUUAAAACCUUCUUGUUGGUAGCACUCCAUUUAUUAUUGGCAAAAAUAUUAUUUGAACACAUGCUGUGUAUGUGUAAUGAAUGCUGGGUGCUGAGUCACAAGGAGGUGACAAUAAUGUCUACUCUCUGAAUUCUGCAGUGUAGCUGGGGAGGCAGGAUGCCGGCAUAAAAAGAAAGCAUGGGUACCUUUUACAUGUCCCGAAGGAGCUAUGCUGGCAGUUCCCCAAUCUACCUUCUUUGAAUCCUGUGUUCUAUGACUUUCUUUUGGAAUAAUUGGAAAAUUUAAUAUUUUAAUUAAGUUCAUUUACACCUAGAAAGUGGACAUCUUUAAUCCUUUUUUGGAAUUAGGCAAUAACUUCCUGUAGAGAGUAAGCCACGUGACAUAUAUAAUCCCCAAAGAGACACAGGUGUAAUCACUGUUAGGCCAUGAAAGACAACCCUUUGUUUUAUUGCACUUUCUCUAUUUCAGAAUCAUGAGGAAAACUUGUGUCCUGAAUACCCAGUAUUUUGUCCCAACAAUUGUGCGAAGAUUAUUCUAAAAACUGAGGUGGAUGAACACCUGGCUGUAUGUCCUGAAGCUGAGCAAGACUGUCCUUUUAAGCACUAUGGCUGUGCUGUAACGGAUAAACGGAGGAACCUGCAGGAACAUGAGCAUUCAGCCUUACGGGAGCACAUGCGUUUGGUUUUAGAAAAGAAUGUCCAAUUAGAAGAACAGGUAAAUCUUCAAAGGUUCAAAUAAAAAGUGAGGCAACAGAA